UACGGAGGGUGCAAGCGUUAUCCGGAUUCACUGGGUUUAAAGGGUGCGUAGGAGGGCAGGUAAGUCAGUGGUGAAAUCCUGGGGCUUAACCCCAGAACUGCCGUUGAUACUAUCGGUCUUGAAUGUCGUGGAGGUGAGCGGAAUAUGUCAUGUAGCGGUGAAAUGCUUAGAUAUGACAUAGAACACCAAAUUGCGAAGGCAGCUCACUACACAAUUAUUGACGCUGAGGCACGAAAAGCGUGGGGGAUCAAA
This 252-nucleotide ribosomal RNA is filed under the name uncultured bacterium. Its description in RNAcentral is "partial 16S ribosomal RNA". It matches the Rfam family "Bacterial small subunit ribosomal RNA", at positions 524 to 772 of the family's 1533-position model. The record is from RNAcentral.